CUUUUUUGUGAUGAGCAACAAAUUUAAAGCAUAGUUCACCUGAAAGUCUCGGACUUCAUGAACGACAAACCUUUACCAUCUUUCACCUUUGUCUGAUA
Non-coding RNA from Talaromyces stipitatus ATCC 10500, 98 nucleotides. The record is from Rfam. Lineage: Eukaryota; Fungi; Ascomycota; Eurotiomycetes; Eurotiales; Trichocomaceae.